Molecule: long non-coding RNA, 570 nt
Filed under: Pseudonaja textilis
Lineage: Eukaryota; Metazoa; Chordata; Lepidosauria; Squamata; Elapidae
Description: lncRNA (ENSPTXG00000001427.1)
Source: RNAcentral
GGGUCAACGAAGCGUUUGGAGGCGUUUUUUGGCCUUCGACGAGGCCUAGGUCCCUGUCGCUUCGGUUCCUUCCGGGAUUUUCGUUUUUACCGACGGUAGUAACGGUAACGGGCGCCCCUGCGCACCCUCAGUCCGCUUUUCGACAUUAUCCCGCGGGAUCACCUCCUGGCCGGAAGCCAGUUCCAAAUGCCCCGCAAUGGAUGAAGACAGCCAGGAUGAACUCAUAAACAAGAAUGCUGCAGUAGGCAAAGUUAAAAGAACAAAUGUGCUGCUUUUUAGCGAUGCAGAAAGCAGCGAUGGAAAUAGCGGAGACUCUGAUGACACAGGAAGUGAGGAUGAAGGUGAUACUGAUGAAGAUGGAGAUGAAGAGAAUGAAGAAAGUGAAGAUGAAGAUCUAGAAGGUGAUUAUAACAAGUCUUUCAGUAAUAUUAAUUAACAUUUUACAUUCAGUGUGAGCUAUUUUUAAAGCUACGUUAGGUGAGUUGCUGUUAAUUUGCCUAAUAUGCAUCAAACCAUUAUAUAAUUGAACCGUAGAGAAGCACAUUGCUCUUAUAACUGUUUUGAUUGUUU